RNAcentral lists this ribosomal RNA (397 nucleotides) under uncultured bacterium. RNAcentral's name for it is "partial 16S ribosomal RNA". It matches the Rfam family "Bacterial small subunit ribosomal RNA", at positions 523 to 918 of the family's 1533-position model. The record is from RNAcentral.
AUACGUAGGGGGCGAGCGUUGUCCGGAAUGAUUGGGCGUAAAGGGCGCGUAGGCGGCCCGGUAAGUCUGGAGUGAAAGUCCUGUUUUUAAGAUGGGAAUUGCUUUGGAUACUGUCGGGCUUGAGUGCAGGAGAGGUAAGUGGAAUUCCCAGUGUAGCGGUGAAAUGCGUAGAGAUUGGGAGGAACACCAGUGGCGAAGGCGACUUACUAGACUGUAACUGACGCUGAGGCGCGAAAGUGUGGGGAGCAAACAGGAUUAGAUACCCUGGUAGUCCACACUGUAAACGAUGAAUGCUAGGUGUAGGGGGUAUCGACCCCUUCUGUGCCGCAGUCAACACAAUAAGCAUUCCGCCUGGGGAGUACGGCCGCAAGGUUGAAACUCAAAGGAAUUGACGGGG